Molecule: ribosomal RNA, 490 nt
Filed under: uncultured bacterium
Lineage: Bacteria
Description: partial 16S ribosomal RNA
Rfam family: Bacterial small subunit ribosomal RNA
Source: RNAcentral
AGUGAACGCUGGCGGCAGGCCUAACACAUGCAAGUCGAACGGCAGCACAAGAGCGUUUGCUCUCUGGGUGGCGAGUGGCGGGCGGGUGAGGAAUGCAUCGAACUCUGCCCAUUUGUGGGGGAUAACCCGGGGAAACGGGGACUAAUACCGCAUACGACCUACAGGUGAAAGUAGGGGAUCUUCGGACGUUGCGCAGAUGGAUGAGCCGAUGCCGGAUUAGCUAGUUGGAGGGGUAAAGGCCUACCAAGGCGACGAUCCGUAGCUGGUCUGAGAGGAUGAUCAGCCACACUGGAACUGAGACACGGUCCAGACUCCUACGGGAGGCAGCAGUGGGGAAUAUUCGACAAUGGGCGAAAGCCUGAUCCAGCAAUGCCGCGUGUGUGAUGAAGGCCUUCGGGUUGUAAAGCUCUGUUGUUAGGAAAGAAAAGCAGCCGGUUAAUACCCGGUUGUCAUGACGGUACCCAAAGAAUAAGCACCGGCUAACUUCGUG